This 379-nucleotide ribosomal RNA is filed under the name uncultured Cellulomonas sp. RNAcentral's name for it is "bacterial SSU rRNA". It matches the Rfam family "Bacterial small subunit ribosomal RNA", at positions 1005 to 1382 of the family's 1533-position model. The record is from RNAcentral. Lineage: Bacteria; Bacillati; Actinomycetota; Actinomycetes; Micrococcales; Cellulomonadaceae.
GAGAUGGGUGCCCCUUUGUGGUCGGUGUACAGGUGGUGCAUGGUUGUCGUCAGCUCGUGUCGUGAGAUGUUGGGUUAAGUCCCGCAACGAGCGCAACCCUCGUCCUAUGUUGCCAGCGGGUCAUGCCGGGGACUCAUGGGAGACUGCCGGGGUCAACUCGGGAGGAAGGUGGGGAUGACGUCAAAUCAUCAUGCCCCUUAUGUCUUGGGCUUCACGCAUGCUACAAUGGCCGGUACAAAGGGCUGCGAUACCGCGAGGUGGAGCGAAUCCCAGAAAGCCGGUCUCAGUUCGGAUUGGGGUCUGCAACUCGACCCCAUGAAGUCGGAGUCGCUAGUAAUCGCAGAUCAGCAACGCUGCGGUGAAUACGUUCCCGGGCCUU